RNAcentral lists this ribosomal RNA (497 nucleotides) under uncultured bacterium. Its description in RNAcentral is "partial 16S ribosomal RNA". It matches the Rfam family "Bacterial small subunit ribosomal RNA", at positions 28 to 507 of the family's 1533-position model. The record is from RNAcentral.
GACGAACGCUGGCGGCGUGCCUAAUACAUGCAAGUAGAACGCUGAAGAGAGGAGCUUGCUCUUCUUGGAUGAGUUGCGAACGGGUGAGUAACGCGUAGGUAACCUGCCUGGUAGCGGGGGAUAACUAUUGGAAACGAUAGCUAAUACCGCAUAAAAUUGAUUAUUGCAUGAUAAUUAAUUGAAAGAUGCAACUGCAUCACUACCAGAUGGACCUGCGUUGUAUUAGCUAGUUGGUGAGGUAACGGCUCACCAAGGCGACGAUACAUAGCCGACCUGAGAGGGUGGUCGGCCACACUGGGACUGAGACACGGCCCAGACUCCUACGGGAGGCAGCAGUAGGGAAUCUUCGGCAAUGGGGGGAACACUGACCGAGCAACGCCGCGUGAGUGAAGAAGGUUUUCGGAUCGUAAAGCUCUGUUGUAAGAGAAGAACGGGUGUGAGAGUGGAAAGUUCACACUGUGACGGUAUCUUACCAGAAAGGGACGGCUAACUACGUG